GAGGAAGAUGAUGCCACUAGUGCAUUAGCUGCACCAAAGCCUGAGCCUAAUGAUCAGAGCUUGCAAGUUGGGGAUAAUGUGGUCUUUCAGGAGGGGCAACAGGAUCACAGUUUCCCAUUUGUUGAUCAAUGUAAAAAAGACUCUCCUACAGGAGUUCCCAGCAUGGUGGCUAACGACUUAGAAGGAGCUGGUCACUUGGACUAUAAUCAGUAUGAUUUAUCUCAAAAUUUUGAGUCAAACUUCUAUACUGGUUCUAAUAGCACAGAUUUGUGUGUUGAGGAUGGUGUGCCUCAUGUUUCUGGCUAUCUGCCAAGUAUAUUUCCUCCACCUUCUGCUUUCCUGGGCCCAA
This 349-nucleotide unclassified non-coding RNA is filed under the name Hevea brasiliensis (rubber tree). Lineage: Eukaryota; Viridiplantae; Streptophyta; Magnoliopsida; Malpighiales; Euphorbiaceae. The record is from RNAcentral.